Talpa occidentalis (Iberian mole) is the source of this 2861-nucleotide long non-coding RNA. RefSeq lists it as uncharacterized. NCBI's taxonomy places the organism in Eukaryota, Metazoa, Chordata, Mammalia, Eulipotyphla, Talpidae. The record is from RefSeq and is a predicted model, not a curated record. The transcript has 4 exons.
AAUGCCUGCUCGGAGGCAGGGCUGACCGUUGAGUUUUCCCUCACAGCUCUGCAAAUGGAGUUAAGGACAACACUGGAGGCGCCACGGCAGCACAAGUGGUGACCAAAGUCCAGGAGAUGCAGGAAGAGCUAAAGACGCUGCAGGAGCACAGCAGGUGAACAAGGUCCAAGAAAUGCAGGACAGGACCUCAAGUGGAGGAGGAGAUGGUCUGCAAGGAGCAGCCCAGGACACCGGAGGCAGCAGACAUGUUGGGGAAGAGCACGAUUUGGCAUUCAGAGCUCGCCCAGGGCUGACGCAAGGAAAACAGAUGGACUUUGACAAUUCUGCCAGAAGGGAUCAUGGCGGCAAAGUUACAUUCACCAAAUGGAAAAUGUGUAGAUUACACUGUGGACAACCAAGGAGGAGCGCGUUAUGUAAGGCAAGUGAUGAUUGCUGAGGCUUUUGCACACCAGGGCUCUGAGACUAACGUAGCAUUGAGAGCAGAAGAGUUUUAUGAAUGUGAGUGCCCUGCCCUCAUGCCUGAGUGUGGACAAGGGGCUGAAGGUGUGGCAAUCCAAAGUGAGAACACAUGCACCAAGAAAGAGCCUAUAGGGUUGGAUUAAGAGGACAAAUCAGCAGAGAAUCAAGGAGGACAAUGCAGCGGAGAAGUCAGAAGACAUGCUGUACAGUGAGUGAGGAUCCCAGAGCCCGAGGAUCUCAUGCUGGCCUCUGAGCCCGCCAGGCUCCUGGCACCCCUGCCUGCCCUGCAUCUGGUCCCCUCACUACAAAUGCUAUAGAAAAGCCACUGAGGGCUCCAGGACUCUCUUUAACCCAGAGAAACUGCUGUGUGCCUUGCUGGCAUAACAAGUGGCAUAGGUCAGCAGGAUGAUUUGACGCAGACAGGUAUGGAGCCGUCCAAAGACCCCGGGAGGGACUGAGUGGUGGUGGGCCAUGAGCAUGCAGUGCUUGGUGGCCACCCUCUGUGUCAGCACCUUCCCACCCUCUCUAUGUCAGGCCCAAGGAGAAUGAUCCUCCAGUGCAGGUGAGGAGGACUUGACACAUGGUGGGAGAGUCGUUGGAUGGACAUGAUGCCUGAUUGGAGGCAGGACUAGCUGUUGAAUUUUCCCUCACAACUCUGCAAAUGGGGUUAAGGACAACACUGGAGGCGCCACCGCAGCACAGGCAGCGACCAAAGUCUCGGAGCUGUGUGAAGAGCUAAAGACGCUGCAGGAGCACAGGAGGUGGAACAAGGUCUGGGAGAUGCAGGACAAGACCUCAAGUGGAGGAGGAGAUGGUCUGCAAGGACCAGCCCAGGACACUGGAGGCAGCAGACACGUUGGGGAAGAGCACAAUUUGGCAUUCAGAGCUCGCCCAGGGCUGACGCAAGGAAAACAGAUGGACUUUGACAAUUCUGCCAGAAGGGAUCAUGGCGGCAAAGUUACAUUCACCAAAUGGAAAAUGUGUAGAUUACACUGUGGACAACCAAGGAGGAGCGCGUUAUGUAAGGCAAGUGAUGAUUGCUGAGGCUUUUGCACACCAGGGCUCUGAGACUAACGUAGCAUUGAGAGCAGAAGAGUUUUAUGAAUGUGAGUGCCCUGCCCUCAUGCCUGAGUGUGGACAAGGGGCUGAAGGUGUGGCAAUCCAAAGUGAGAACACAUGCACCAAGAAAGAGCCUAUAGGGUUGGAUUAAGAGGACAAAUCAGCAGAGAAUCAAGGAGGACAAUGCAGCGGAGAAGUCAGAAGACAUGCUGUACAGUGAGUGAGGAUCCCAGAGCCCGAGGAUCUCAUGCUGGCCUCUGAGCCCGCCAGGCUCCUGGCACCCCUGCCUGCCCUGCAUCUGGUCCCCUCACUACAAAUGCUAUAGAAAAGCCACUGAGGGCUCCAGGACUCUCUUUAACCCAGAGAAACUGCUGUGUGCCUUGCUGGCAUAACAAGUGGCAUAGGUCAGCAGGAUGAUUUGACGCAGACAGGUAUGGAGCCGUCCAAAGACCCCGGGAGGGACUGAGUGGUGGUGGGCCAUGAGCAUGCAGUGCUUGGUGGCCACCCUCUGUGUCAGCACCUUCCCACCCUCUCUAUGUCAGGCCCAAGGAGAAUGAUCCUCCAGUGCAGGUGAGGAGGACUUGACACAUGGUGGGAGAGUCGUUGGAUGGACAUGAUGCCUGAUUGGAGGCAGGACUAGCUGUUGAAUUUUCCCUCACAACUCUGCAAAUGGGGUUAAGGACAACACUGGAGGCGCCACCGCAGCACAGGCAGCGACCAAAGUCUCGGAGCUGCGUGAAGGGUUAAAGAUGUUGCAGGAGCACAGGAGGUGAACAAGGUCUGGGAGAUGCAGGACAAGACCUCAAGUGGAGGAGGAGAUGGUCUGCAAGGACCAGCCCAGGACAUGGGAGGCAGCAGAUGAGUUGGGGAGAGGAGCACAAUUUGGCAUUCAGAGCUCGCCCAGGGCUGACGCAAGGAAAACAGGUGGACUUUGACAAUUCUGCCAGAAGGUGGUGCCCGAAAACCUAAUGCCUGAGAUUCCUCCUCUGCUGUUGUAUAUUAUUCUACUGUUGUGUUGGUUGUACUGUGUUUAUUUCGGGAUCGUGGCGCCAAAGAUACAUUCACAAAAAGGAAAAUAUGUGUAGAUUACAGUGUGGAAAACCAAGGAGGAGAGCGUUAUAUAAGGUGACGAGGAUUGCUGAGGCUCUUCCACAUGUGGGCUCUGACACUACCCCUUACAGCAUUGAAUGCAGAACAGUUUUAGGAGUGUGGGCGCCGCAAACGAUGCCAGAGUGUGGACUAGGGGCCGAAGGUGUGGCGAUGGAGAGUGAGAACACCUGAGCCCAGAAGGAGGAUCUAGGGUUGGAUUGACAGGACAAAUCAGCAGAGAAUCAAGGAGCAGA